UACGUAGGUGGCAAGCGUUAUCCGGAAUUAUUGGGCGUAAAGAGCGCGCAGGUGGUUAAUUAAGUCUGAUGUGAAAGCCCACGGCUUAACCGUGGAGGGUCAUUGGAAACUGGUUGACUUGAGUGCAGAAGAGGGAAGUGGAAUUCCAUGUGUAGCGGUGAAAUGCAUAGAUAUCACGCAGAACUCCGAUUGCGAAGGCAGCUUACUAAGCCAUAACUGACACUGAAGCACGAAAGCGUGGGGAUCAAACAGG
Molecule: ribosomal RNA, 253 nt
Filed under: uncultured Turicibacter sp.
Lineage: Bacteria; Bacillati; Bacillota; Erysipelotrichia; Erysipelotrichales; Turicibacteraceae
Description: partial 16S ribosomal RNA
Rfam family: Bacterial small subunit ribosomal RNA
Source: RNAcentral